Molecule: ribosomal RNA, 420 nt
Filed under: Triticum aestivum (bread wheat)
Lineage: Eukaryota; Viridiplantae; Streptophyta; Magnoliopsida; Poales; Poaceae
Description: partial small subunit ribosomal RNA
Source: RNAcentral
AUGGUGGUGCGCCCCUCACCAUCACACCAUCACCACCAUCGCCGCCACCCACGACCAUCUCCACCACGCACCACCAGCACCACUUCCCACGAGACGCACCUCACACCACCACCGACACCGCGCCAUCUCCAUCUUCGCCGCCGCUCCACCGCUCGCACGAUCUCUUCUUCCCCUGCUGCUCCUCCCUUCUCCUCACGUCCCUACUGCUCUUCCUUCUCCAAAUCCCCAAACUGCUGCUCCCCCUCGUCCCUACUGCUGCUACUCCACUUCCUCUGCUCCCCUUCUUCUUCUCUGAAUCUCGCUGCUGCUCCUCCUCCUCUUAAAACUGCUGCUGCUCCCUCUCCCACUUUUCUCGCUGCUGAGGCUUCUUUCUGUACCUCUGCUGCUGAUCUUCUUGUGCUCAUGUUGCUGCUCCUCUGA